Molecule: long non-coding RNA, 800 nt
Organism: Mastomys coucha (southern multimammate mouse)
Lineage: Eukaryota; Metazoa; Chordata; Mammalia; Rodentia; Muridae
Exons: 2
Source: RefSeq, a predicted model, not a curated record
CAUACCCGCGUUCCGUGCCCGUUAUUGCACUGGGCACCGGGGUUCCGCCAGGAUGCCCAGACACGUAACUGACCUUGUCAGGUACCAGAAUGAUGAGUGGAAGCAGCAGGAUCGGGGUGAAGAACAAAAUCACGAAGGACUUGAACUUGUCCACAUAAAUCUUCGCCGAAUCCAUCGUGUGAAAGGGAGACAGACUGGAGAGAGAAAAGAUUGCGAGGCAGCUAGAAGCUUCACGAGCUUAAAAGGGGGCCGCGCGGUCCCACCGGAUUGGGGGCGGCUACAACUCCGCCCCCCUCGGCGGGGCCUCCCUGCGGUCCUGGGGCGGAGCCACCCCUCGGGGUCUGUGGGGCGCGUCUGUCCCAGGACUCUGCCACCCCGCGGCAGAGGGAGGCGUCUGCAGAUACCAGUUUUUGGCACCAGUCUUCUAUGGAGAGGACUGGACCCUGGCACCUCACCACUCGCCAAGCCCGUUUGGCGCUGCUCUGGUCGUCAGUACCAUGCAGGGUGUGCCGGUCAUUCUGCCAGCUUUUAAGCACCUGCCACCACCACCAGGAAAGAACUACUGAAUUUCCCACCUUCUCAGCCUAUGGAUGUCAGAGGCCCUAAAACAGAACACACGUUUGUAUCAAGAUCUUGACUCUGUUCCUGUGACCUGUCUGUCACCUUGCCCUCAAGUCUGCAACUGCCAUCUUUAGGCUCAUUCUAUUUUUGGUUUGUUUGUGUCUAUGUGGCCCUGGGCCCACCCCUUCCUCCAGAGCAAUUAAAACUAGAGUUCUUGCUUUGGUUUGUUUGUUUCAAGA